UUUUUUGCAUUUCUUUUCCAUGGGGAUGGUCUUGAUCCCUAUCUCCUGUACAGUGUUGUGAACCUCUAUUCAUAGUUCAUCAGGCACUCUGUCUAUCAGAUCUAGUCCCUUAAAUCUAUUUCUCACUUCCACUGUAUAAUUGUAAAGGAUUUGAUUUAGGUCAUACCUGGAUGGUCUAGUGGUUUUCCCUACUUUCUUUAAUUUAAGUCUGAAUUUGGCAAUAAGAAGUUCAUGAUCUGAGCCACAGUUAGCUCCCAGUCUUGUUUUUGCUGACUGUAUAGGGCUUCUCCAUCUUUGGCUGCAAACAAUAUAAUCAGUCUGAUUUCGGUAUUGAUCAUCUGGUGAUGUCCAUGUGUAGAGUCUUCUCUUGUGUUGUUGAAAGAGGGUGUCUGCCAUGACCAGUGCGUUCUCUUGGCAAAACUCUGUUAGCCUUUGUCCUGCUUCAUUCUGUACUCCAAGGCCAAAUUUUCCUGUUACUCCAAGUGUUUCUUGACUUCCUACUUUUGCAUUCCAGUCCCCUAUAAUGAAAAGGACAUCUUUUUUGGGUGUUAGUUCUAGAAGGUCUUGUAGGUCUUCAUAGAACCGUUCAAUGUCAGCUUUUCAGCAUUACCAGUCGGGGCAUAGGCUUGGAUUACCGUGAUAUUAAAUGGUUUGCCUUGGAUAGAAUUGUUACAGUGGGUUUUCUUUGUUUGGAAAUUUGAGAAGUUUGUGGCAGCUUUCCAACAGGUGCAAGUGUUGAAGGGUUCAGCGAGCGUGGGGUUAGUGACACUUCCAAAGGGAACAGUUUUCUAUUAUAUAACAGGUCCUGGCUGUUACUGAGCCUCCUCUGAAAUAUACAUAAUCUAUAAUCAGGACUCAGUUUCUCCCACUGAGAUGAUCCUUCUGAUGUUCUGUCAGAAGUUCAGCUUAGCCUGAAAUCUCAGUGCCAGACAUCCACGUGGACACUGUAGGCACCAUACAGGCAGUGGUCCUCAGCAUCAUCGACGUGGUUAUCUAGGUUUAUCAGGAGAGAAAAACCAGGGUUUUGCUGAAAAGAAAAUCAACGACUUUCUUUCCAACCUGUUGUUCCAGCCAAUCCCUUUGGGAAGAACAACUGGAAGACUUGGACCCCCACCCCCCGCCCCCACAAAUGCUUAAGCAUGCUUCUGAAGGUAACAGAGUUAUAAGAAAGUGAGCUUAUGGACUCGAGAUUGUGGGGAGGCAAGAAUCCCAGGGAGGCAAUUGGCAAUCCCAAAAGUAGUGGCUGAAAGGCUGGAAGCUGAGCAGGACUUUUAACAAACUCACAGGGCUAGGGGACAAAAGUUCCAAGUUCAGGGGCUGCCAGGGAGAAGGAGUGAAGAAAGGGCAUGGCAACCCUCUCCAGUAUUCUUGCCUGGAGAAUCCCAUGGACAGAGGAGCCUGGUAGGCUAUACACGUUCCUGGGGUUGCAAAGAGUCGGACAAGACUGAAGCGACUUAGCACGCAGGGAGAAGGAGAUUUAAUAAGUAACCAGUCUUACAGCUAGAACUCCAAAGACCUCACCCUGGGAGUAAGAGUGAACCAGCAGGACUUGUUCUAAUCAACUCAGUCUCUGUAUGGAUCGAGGUGGUCUGUGAAUGUUGUGCCCAUACUCUACACAG
Long non-coding RNA from Capra hircus (goat), 1619 nucleotides. NCBI's taxonomy places the organism in Eukaryota, Metazoa, Chordata, Mammalia, Artiodactyla, Bovidae. The record is from Ensembl.